GAUGAACGCUGGCGGCGUGCCUAACACAUGCAAGUCGAGCGAUGAAAUUUUCUUCGGAAAACGGAUUAGCGGCGGACGGGUGAGUAACACGUGGGUAACUUACCUCAUAGUGGGGGAUAGCCUUUCGAAAGGAAGAUUAAUACCGCAUAACAUCAUUGAAUGGCAUCAUUCGAUGAUCAAAGGAUUUAUUCGCUAUGAGAUGGACCCGCGUCGCAUUAGCUAGUUGGUAAGGUAAUGGCUUACCAAGGCGACGAUGCGUAGCCGACCUGAGAGGGUGAUCGGCCACAUUGGGACUGAGACACGGCCCAGACUCCUACGGGAGGCAGCAGUGGGGAAUAUUGCACAAUGGGGGAAACCCUGAUGCAGCAACGCCGCGUGAGUGAUGACGGUCUUCGGAUUGUAAAGCUCUGUCUUUGGGGACGAUAAUGACGGUACCCAAGGAGGAAGCCACGGCUAACUACGUGCCAGCCGCCGCUGUAA
This 480-nucleotide ribosomal RNA is filed under the name uncultured bacterium. RNAcentral's name for it is "partial 16S ribosomal RNA". It matches the Rfam family "Bacterial small subunit ribosomal RNA", at positions 28 to 523 of the family's 1533-position model. The record is from RNAcentral.